ACUCAAAUGAAUUGACGGGGGCCCGCACAAGCAGUGGAGCAUGUGGUUUAAUUCGAUGCAACGCGAAGAACCUUACCCAGGCUCGAAAUGCAGAUGGCGAUACCAGAGAUGGUAUUUUUCGUAAGAACGUCUGUAUAGGUGCUGCAUGGCUGUCGUCAGCUCGUGCCGUGAGGUGUUGGGUUAAGUCCCGCAACGAGCGCAACCCUUAUCAUUAGUUGCCAACAUUUAAGGUGGGGACUCUAAUGAGACUGCCUAGGUUAACUAGGAGGAAGGUGAGGAUGACGUCAAGUCCGCAUGGCCUUUAUGUCUGGGGCUACACACGUGCUACAAUGGUCGGUACAGAAGGCAGCAAGACCGCAAGGUGGAGCAAAUCCGAAAAACCGAUCUCAGUUCAGAUUGUAGUCUGCAACUCGACUACAUGAAGUUGGAAUUGCUAGUAAUGACGUGUCAGCAACAGCGUCGUGAAUACGUUCCCGGGCCUUGCACACACCGCCCGU
This 497-nucleotide ribosomal RNA is filed under the name uncultured bacterium. RNAcentral's name for it is "partial 16S ribosomal RNA". It matches the Rfam family "Bacterial small subunit ribosomal RNA", at positions 899 to 1397 of the family's 1533-position model. The record is from RNAcentral.